UUGGAUAGCCGGAGAGAGUGGGCUUGUCAGAGGGAAGAGACAUGGAAACAUUUGUCUCAGAGACCAUUUUCAGAUUUCAACUCCUCCUUGUUUCAUCCAAUUGUCAAAAAAAAAUUCUCUUAUAUUCACCCACCAUUGGUUCCCGAGACGGUCGUGAAGGGUAAAAAGAUGUCACAACUCACUAUUACCAAAGAUGUUGUUACGCAAAAUGAAAAAAAAAAAAAAAAAAAAAAAA
Molecule: long non-coding RNA, 235 nt
Filed under: Capsella rubella
Lineage: Eukaryota; Viridiplantae; Streptophyta; Magnoliopsida; Brassicales; Brassicaceae
Description: long non-coding RNA (CRUB_LNC002782)
Source: RNAcentral